CGCGUUCUACAAAAAGGUCAAGGCUAAUGGUUGAUACAACUUGUAUAUAACCCAGAUAACUUUUCAAGUUUUGGGGUUGAUAUUUGGAUUUGCAAUCGUCAAACAACAAGCAUGGCAGACCGAGACAAGGCUACGAACCAAAUGGAAGAGUUUAAACGGACCCAGGGGAGCCCAGACACCCUGACAACUGGUAUAGGCUCCCCGGUGGGUAACAAAACAGCCUCCAUGACUGUGGGGCCGCGCGGUCCCCUGUUGAUGCAGGAUUUCGUGUUCACAGAUGAGAUGGCACAUUUCAAUAGGGAGAGGAUCCCAGAGAGGGUGGUGCAUGCGAAAGGGGCAGGUGCUUUUGGUUACUUUGAGUGCACCCAUGAUGUCUCAAAGUAUACAAAACUCAAGCCAUUUGAGUUUGUUGGCAAGAAGACACCCUUGGCUGUACGGUUUUCUACUGUCGGAGGGGAGUCGGGCUCCGCAGACACCGCACGUGACCCUCGAGGGUUCGCUGUGAAGAUGUACACAGAGGAAGGGAACUGGGACAUUGUGGGCAAUAAUACACCCAUUUUCUUUAUCAGGGACCCUUUCUUGUUCCCGAGCUUCAUUCACACACAGAAGAGGAAUCCUCAGACUCACCUGAAGGACCCAGACAUGUUUUGGGACUUCAUCAGCCUGCGACCAGAGACGACCCACCAGGUCUCGUUCCUCUUCUCAGAUCGGGGCACGCCAGAUGGUUAUCGCCAAAUGAACGGCUAUGGAAGCCACACGUUCAAGCUUGUCAACAAGGAUGGUGAAGCUGUAUAUUGCAAGUUCCACUUUAAGAGUGACCAGGGCAUUAAGAACCUCUCCGCUGACAAGGCUGGGGAGCUUUCGGGCAGUGACCCCGACUAUGCGAUGCGCGACCUCUACAACUCUAUCGCUGAGGGCAAUUACCCCUCGUGGAGCCUUAAGAUCCAAGUCAUGACCUACGAGGAGGCAGAAAAAUUCCGUUGGAAUCCCUUUGACCUCACGAAGAUCUGGCCGCAAGGGGAGUUUCCGCUGAUUCCUGUUGGCCGUAUGGUGCUGAACCGCAACCCCAAGAAUUACUUUGCCGAGGUAGAACAGGUUGCCUUUAGUCCAGCCCACAUGAUCCCCGGCGUGGAAGCUAGCCCUGACAAGAUGCUGCAGGGUCGCCUGUUUUCCUAUUCUGACACCCAUCGACACCGCCUGGGUACAAACUACCUGCAGAUUCCUGUCAACUGCCCGUACAACGCUCGCCUGAGGAACUACCAGCGAGAUGGACCUCAGACUGUCAAUGAUAACCAAGGAGGAGCGCCCAAUUACUUCCCAAACAGUUUUAGUGGACCAGUAGACGACAAGCAAUGGGUGGAGCAUAUGGACAAGUAUUCUAAUGCUCAGGUUGGCCGCUAUAAUACCGCAGACGAUGACAACUUCACACAAGUGGGCACAUUCUUUAACAAGGUCCUCUCGCCUGCUCAUCGUGAGAAUCUAACAUCCAACAUUGCGGGUCACUUAAUUGGGGCACAGGAGUUCAUCCAGAAACGUGCCAUUGGCAAUUUUGCCCAGGCUGACCCAGUUUACGGAAGGAUGAUACAGGAGAAAAUUGACAAGCUUAAGGCAAAGAAACAGGUAUAGAAUUUUCUACUUUUGUCCGCAUGUAGAUUGAAGAUUAGUUUAGCUUCAGGUUUCAGUAAGCGUUCCAGCACAAUUGUAAAACAACCGUGGAGAGACAUUAAGUGAUUUCAAAUAUAUGCACAAACGGCAUUAUAAAAAAAGACUUUAUGGGCAUAUUUAAGUUUGUAUAUAAUUGCAACACAAUAUAUAGAUACAUUAUUGGUCAAGCUUGAAAUUAUUGAUGUUAACGCAGUUAAUAAUGGUGUUAAACCAUUGGUUUUAAGUUUAUAUAAAUAUGAUGUACAUGUCAAAAAUUGUUCAUAAUUGUUAUGAAUUUUUGUAAUCCUGAUUUAAAAACUGUUUUGCUUUUCAGUUAACUUAUAACUUUAAUAAUUACAGUUUGUCAUUCAGCAUUAUUAGAUUGUGAUUAAUUUUUUGUAUGCAGUUUUUUUAUAAUAAUGGUUUUGCUAGCUAUUGUCACAAUUCAUAUUUUAAGCGGAAUUAAAAGCAAAACAAUUAUGUUUUAAUUGACCUCCAUUUUGCUAGCACAUAGUAAAACUUAUAUGUACAGAAGGCAACGGCCUUUAUGCUUUAGCCAAGAUGUACAAGAUUGUUAUUUUGAUGCGCAAUUAAUCAGAUUUUUUUCUAAUUGUGUGAUUUGUUAAGUAUUUGUUAAGUGUACAUUUUAUUGUGUGGAGGCUCUUUCAGUUAAAAGGUUGUAAUGCAUUUGAUUUUUAUAUGUACUUUACAGAGUAUAAAUUGAUAAUUCAAAAAGACAAUCGUUAAUAAAAUUUGUAUAUCAGUA
Molecule: RNA transcript, 2410 nt
Organism: Dreissena polymorpha
Lineage: Eukaryota; Metazoa; Mollusca; Bivalvia; Myida; Dreissenidae
Gene name: catalase-like
Exons: 13
Source: RefSeq, a predicted model, not a curated record